UGUAAUAUCAUCAGUCACUCCUGCAGAAUCUCCGACUGAUGUCGAUAUUUUGAAGAAAUUGCUUCCACAAUAGUAUAGUAAAUUAACCUUACAAUUACUUACCACAGGAGAUGGAUAGUCCAAUCCUGUAUUUUGGUUAAUAAAAGUUGCGUGAUUUUACUGCAUACAAAAAUUGUCCAGUUCCAAACUCUUGGUUGAUAAUAAAAGAUGUUUCCAAG
Molecule: unclassified non-coding RNA, 218 nt
Filed under: Hevea brasiliensis (rubber tree)
Lineage: Eukaryota; Viridiplantae; Streptophyta; Magnoliopsida; Malpighiales; Euphorbiaceae
Source: RNAcentral